RNAcentral lists this long non-coding RNA (1111 nucleotides) under Oncorhynchus kisutch (coho salmon). Its description in RNAcentral is "lncRNA (ENSOKIG00005012445.1)". Lineage: Eukaryota; Metazoa; Chordata; Actinopteri; Salmoniformes; Salmonidae. The record is from RNAcentral.
UACUGUACUAACCAAAUGACACUCCCGUUCAUGGGAUGCUCUAAUGAAGGUCAAAAGGCCAAAACAGUAGCAUAAUAAAAAAUGAUAUUUUGAGAACAUAGUGGGUGGGAGUUCUCAAUUUGUUACUAUUGCUGUCCAUCUUCAGUGAAUUUUCAAACAACCUAAUCCAGAUGUUUGAGUUUCACGUCAACUUCUCCCUCCAUCCAUCCCCUUCACAGGCUGUAGCAGGACCCCCUGGUGUGAAAGGAGCACAGGGACCUGCUGGUGUGACCUUAUCUGGGACAAUGGGAGAGAGAGGGCUGCCAGGGCUACGGGUAGGUCUGCUUGGUUGAACCAGUUAUUUACAUCAGCUAUUAUUCAGGCAUUUACUAUACAGAUUACCAAACAUGAACAAGAAUGUUUAGGGAUUUCUGGGUUACCACGUGUUUCUAAAGUUGUAUUUUUCUAAAAUGUUUGUCCUUUAGGGUGAGAGGGGGGACAAGGGUCCUGCAGGCACCAAAGGGGACAGGGUGAGUAAUGUCACAUAAUACAACAUUAGUCAACAUUCACAGACACUACAUUAUGACAGUGAUAAGGGAAAUUAUUGUGUGUGUGUCUGUCUGUUUCUGUGUCUUGUUGAAAUAGGGCCCUGCUGGUGAAAAUGGCGAGCCUGGAGAAGAUGUGAGUCACCUUUUGACAUUUUGUAAUAUCAAAUAUUUAAUGUCUAACAGAUGUCAGUCUUACUUACUUCUCCAUCCACUUUGUCUCUUUUAGGGGGGCAGAGGACAUGCAGGGCCUAAAGGAGACAAGGUAAUGCAAAUCACCAGCUGAUUCCUCAUGUCUGUGUUUCCCUGGCUGCUAACCAUGUGACAGUACUAACAGGAUUUGUGUUGCAGGGAGAGAGAGGCAUCGGACUGGCAGGGCCUCCUGGUCAGCUGGGACCUCAAGGGUUAAAGGUUACUAUCAUACGGAAUGUUCUCAUAAACAAAAAUCACAUAUGUAGCUAUGUUCAUAUUAACAUCAAAUCAAAUGUUAUUUAUCACAUGAGCUGAAUACAACACCUUACAGUGAAACACUUACUUAUAAGCCCUUUACCAACAAUGCAGUUUUAAGAGAAAAAAUAAGUGUUAAG